AUCCAGAUGACAAGUCUCAAAUAGGACGAAAUGCGCAUCCUGAAU
This 45-nucleotide non-coding RNA is filed under the name Trichobilharzia regenti. The record is from RNAcentral. Lineage: Eukaryota; Metazoa; Platyhelminthes; Trematoda; Strigeidida; Schistosomatidae.